GCCCGGGUGGCGAAAUCGGUAAUACGCGAGGAGCUUAAACCUCCUUGGUCCUCAGGGGCCGUGUGGGUUCGAAUCCCACCCCGGGCA
Molecule: transfer RNA, 87 nt
Filed under: Actinomycetota bacterium
Lineage: Bacteria; Bacillati; Actinomycetota
Description: tRNA-Leu
Rfam family: tRNA
About the family: Transfer RNA (tRNA) molecules are approximately 80 nucleotides in length.
Source: RNAcentral